UCUUGACCUCGGAUCAGGUAGGGAUACCCGCUGAACUUAAGCAUAU
RNAcentral lists this ribosomal RNA (46 nucleotides) under Phoma sp. RNAcentral's name for it is "partial 28S ribosomal RNA". The record is from RNAcentral. RNAcentral also lists the same sequence under 3 other names. Lineage: Eukaryota; Fungi; Ascomycota; Dothideomycetes; Pleosporales; Didymellaceae.